Molecule: transfer RNA, 73 nt
Filed under: Stegodyphus mimosarum
Lineage: Eukaryota; Metazoa; Arthropoda; Arachnida; Araneae; Eresidae
Rfam family: tRNA
About the family: Transfer RNA (tRNA) molecules are approximately 80 nucleotides in length.
Source: Rfam by way of RNAcentral
GCCUUCGUGGUGUAGUGGUCAGCAUGCUCGACGCGUAACCGAGAGGUCCGUGGUUCGAUUCCCGGCGAAGGCU